Molecule: ribosomal RNA, 399 nt
Filed under: Triticum aestivum (bread wheat)
Lineage: Eukaryota; Viridiplantae; Streptophyta; Magnoliopsida; Poales; Poaceae
Description: partial small subunit ribosomal RNA
Source: RNAcentral
AUGACAAUAUUAAGCUGGAACUGUGGGGGGCUUGGGCAACCCCAGACGGUUCAGGAGUUGGUGUGCCUUGUGCGCACCUAUCAUCCAUCCUUGGUCUUUAUCUCUGAAACUAGGAAAAGUGAGAUGUAUGUCAAUAAAUUGCGUAGGAGACUAGGUCUCAAGCACUGUAUCUCCCAUGUUGGGGAUGGGAAAGGUGCAGGCAUCGCUCUCUUCUAUGAUGAGGAAGUUGAAAUAAAGAAGCUCGUUGUUGGACCGCGCUACAUCGAUGUGUUGAUCCGUCUCAAUCCCCAUGGUCGGCAAUGGCGGGUUACCUUCGUCUAUGGAGAACCGAAAGCAAGUGAAAGGCACCACUUGUGGGAAAAAUUGAGGAGAAUUCUUCCUCUGUCUAAUGAACAUUAG